Solanum lycopersicum (tomato) is the source of this 1016-nucleotide long non-coding RNA. RefSeq lists it as uncharacterized. The record is from RefSeq and is a predicted model, not a curated record. NCBI's taxonomy places the organism in Eukaryota, Viridiplantae, Streptophyta, Magnoliopsida, Solanales, Solanaceae.
ACAGGCAAAAAUGACUAGAAAUUCUCUCUCCUCCUUAUGGGAAGAGGCAGUAUGAGUGAGACUUUGGGUAAAAGAAAAGAAAAAAGAGUGCACGAAAAACAUUGAGAAGGUGGAGACUAUCAUCAUCAUCUCUCUUUAUAUUCCUUUCUCCCUUAAAACUUUCAAACCCCCCAAAAAAUCAAAAGCAAUCAUCAUGUUUUCUGAAUCAUCACCACCAAAACCUUACUUCUUUCACCGCCGUCAUCAUUGCUCCCACAACCAAAAAUAUUUCAAAAUAUCAUCAUUACUAUCAUCACCAUAUACUCCUCGUCAGAAAAAACGUGGUCAUCAUAAUGAUGUUUAUCUUCGCGAUAAUGAUAAUGAUAAUGAUGAUGAAGACGACGAAGAAAUUAAAAUGGAGAGAGUAUAUUUAAUUAAUUGAUUUGGAUCAAUUGAAACAAAUCCAUUCUCUCUCUAAACUCACUUUUUUUUUUGCCUUUGUUGGGGAAUCAAGCUUCCUGGUCCGAUCCCUUUGCUAUUUCAAGCAAAGUUAUCACGUUUUUUACUACUAGAUCUCGCACUCGAAGAAAUAUUGCUAUUUGCAGUUCAGAGAAAAAACAAUAGAAGAGAAGUUUUGCGAAUAGCCAUCAAAAACAACUUAAUUAGGCUUGAUAUAUAGCUAUAAUUUGUAAGUUAUAGUUCUUAGUUAUAUGUUAGAGGGAGGAGAGAGACGAGCAAGAUUAAAAGAGGAAGGAGAGAAGCUAGCGAGAUUGGAAGAGAAAGGAAAGAGGAAAGCGAGAGAGGUCGAAGAGUUUGGAGAGGUGAAUUAUAUUUGUAUAUCUUCGAACUGUAUAUGUGUAUCUAUCAGAUACAUACUUGUAUACAUAGGUGUAUAGCUAAAUUACUGCUAUGUAGAGAGGAGAGAGGCAUACACAAUUAUAGCUAAAACGAGAUUGUAAAUGAUAACUAAUUCAAACUAUAAUUAUAUUACAUAACUUACUAAUUUGUUUAAUUUAUUCGCGUAAUUUUUACUCAAA